This 253-nucleotide ribosomal RNA is filed under the name uncultured bacterium. RNAcentral's name for it is "partial 16S ribosomal RNA". It matches the Rfam family "Bacterial small subunit ribosomal RNA", at positions 524 to 776 of the family's 1533-position model. The record is from RNAcentral.
UACGUAGGUGGCAAGCGUUGUCCGGAAUUAUUGGGCGUAAAGCGCGCGCAGGCGGUCCUUUAAGUCUGAUGUGAAAGCCCACGGCUCAACCGUGGAGGGUCAUUGGAAACUGGAGGACUUGAGUGCAGAAGAGAAGAGUGGAAUUCCACGUGUAGCGGUGAAAUGCGUAGAGAUGUGGAGGAACACCUGUGGCGAAGGCGGCCCCCUGGUUGGAUACUGACGCUGAGACGCGAAAGCGUGGGGAGCAAACAGG